GAUGAUGAAUUCGAUGAAGUGGAUGAUGAUGGUGUCGAUGAAGGUAUUGGUGUUGAUGGCAGUGUAGUAGCGAGUAAAGAUUUUUUAACUUCAAUCUAGACUAACUCUUCUCUCAUGAUCUGGCCAAUCUUACUAUACCAACCAAAGAAAAAUUUUAGGGCAUGCAUGUUAGAUCAACAAAAAUUUUUAUUAUGCAGUGGAAGAGAUCUAAUCUAACAUGUAUCUUUGAGAUCAUAUCUCUUUAAAGCCAGAUCUAUCACAUCCUAAAAAUCAAAACACAAAAUAAACUAAUAUAACCAUAAAAAUCAGAUCUUCACCUUAGCGCG
Molecule: long non-coding RNA, 326 nt
Filed under: Elaeis guineensis (African oil palm)
Lineage: Eukaryota; Viridiplantae; Streptophyta; Magnoliopsida; Arecales; Arecaceae
Description: long non-coding RNA (EGUI_LNC010472)
Source: RNAcentral